GUUUACCAUCAUGGGAUGUGGAUGAAGUGGCUGCGCUGGAGUCUCAGGUGGAGAAGUCAAACUCGCUGUACGAGGAGUUUUUGAACCAGGCAGCGACUCCAAUCAAUGGAUACCAGAAACCUCCAUGAGGACAGAAGCCUGGAGCCUGGACUCAUCUGCGUUUUCUCUUCCCACCUUCUGCAAACCAGAAGAUAAUGACUGGAUGUCUGCGUGUGUGGUUAGCUAUGUAGAAUGUUUCCCAGUCAUUGUGUGAAAAAAAACAAAAAACAGAAAA
Molecule: long non-coding RNA, 274 nt
Organism: Solea solea (common sole)
Lineage: Eukaryota; Metazoa; Chordata; Actinopteri; Pleuronectiformes; Soleidae
Exons: 2
Source: RefSeq, a predicted model, not a curated record